RNAcentral lists this long non-coding RNA (208 nucleotides) under Elaeis guineensis (African oil palm). RNAcentral's name for it is "long non-coding RNA (EGUI_LNC019653)". The record is from RNAcentral. Lineage: Eukaryota; Viridiplantae; Streptophyta; Magnoliopsida; Arecales; Arecaceae.
GGAUUGAUCGAUGCUCUCUUGUGUGAGGAGAAACUGACCAUCAUGGAGGUGUAGGAUUGGAGGUGGCUCCAGAUAGAGAUAGUUAGUACGAUGUGCUUGGUGAGACUUCUCUGACGAUGCUGUGGUCGAAGCUUGAGGAGUUAUACAUAGUGAAGUGUCUCACCAACACCCUCUUCCUCUGGAGGCAGUUCUACCAACUACGGAUAAC